CGUAAUUAUUCGCUAACAAAAUAUGGCAACUGUGAAUGCGUAGAACGAAUUUUAAAUUGUCACAAAUUGUUUGUUUCUAAGUUUUUGUUGUGUGUUUUGUUUACAGAAAGGAUUUAAAUGAAGUAUUUUGAAAAGAGUGUGAUUCAUAUGAAGAAUAAAUGUGUUGGUAGGUGCACUUUGAUGGAAACAAGCUACUUUUAUUCAAAGAUGUUUGUGCUUCUUUUAUACAGUUGUGCUUAUUUAUCUGUGUUUUUCCCUUGAAGAAAAAAUCCGUUUUAUAAUAAAAGAAGUGUUUCUAUCUUAUAUAAUUACUCUAAACACUAUGUCAGAGGAGUUGAGACUUGAACUGCUUGGGCUCGAAAGUGAUACCAAUGUUACAGAAAUUUGGAAAAUCAAUAAAAAAGUAGCUUACGAAAGCUAUUUGAUUGGAGCUAGAGGCACUCAUUUUGUAAUGUGCUGUCUUUUUGCUGGAAUUGCUAUCCAGUUUGGCUCUAAGAAAUAUCACUACCCUUACACUGUUGGUUGCUUCAUAUUUGGAUUUGUCAUAGGAAUUUUAGCGCUUAAUAGUUCAUUUAUACAAGAUUAUACUGCCAUCACUAAAAUGGAUCCUAGUAAUUUGAUGCUUAUCUUUCUCCCAAUUCUUAUUUUCGAAUCUUCUUUCUCAAUGGAUGCUCAUAUGUUCUUCAGAGCCUUACCACAAUGUAUUGCACUUGCUG
Stegodyphus dumicola is the source of this 716-nucleotide long non-coding RNA. NCBI's taxonomy places the organism in Eukaryota, Metazoa, Arthropoda, Arachnida, Araneae, Eresidae. The record is from RefSeq and is a predicted model, not a curated record.